This 78-nucleotide transfer RNA is filed under the name Bacteroidota bacterium. RNAcentral's name for it is "Bacteroidetes bacterium tRNA-Val". It matches the Rfam family "tRNA". Rfam says of the family: Transfer RNA (tRNA) molecules are approximately 80 nucleotides in length. RNAcentral also lists the same sequence under 1 other name. Lineage: Bacteria; Pseudomonadati; Bacteroidota. The record is from RNAcentral.
GGGCGAUUAGCUCAGCUGGUUCAGAGCACCUGCCUUACAAGCAGGGGGUCACUGGUUCGAAUCCAGUAUCGCCCACGA